Molecule: unclassified non-coding RNA, 358 nt
Filed under: soil metagenome
Description: partial contains 5.8S ribosomal RNA, internal transcribed spacer 2, and large subunit ribosomal RNA
Rfam family: 5.8S ribosomal RNA (bases 1-120)
Source: RNAcentral
GAUGAAGAACGUAGCGAUAUGCGAUAAGUAAUGUGAAUUGCAGAAUUCAGUGAAUCAUCGAAUCUUUGAACGCACAUUGCGCCCGUCAGUAUUCUGGCGGGCAUGCCUGUUCGAGCGUCAUUACGCCCCUCAAGUCCCCUGUGGACUUGGUGUUGGGGAUCGGCGAGGCUGGUUUUCCAGCACAGCCGUCCCUUAAAUUAAUUGGCGGUCUCGCCGUGGCCCUCCUCUGCGCAGUAGUAAAACACUCGCAACAGGAGCCCGGCGCGGUCCACUGCCGUAAAACCCCCCAACUUUUUAUAGUUGACCUCGAAUCAGGUAGGACUACCCGCUGAACUUAAGCAUAUCAAUAAGCGGAGGA